This 253-nucleotide ribosomal RNA is filed under the name uncultured bacterium. Its description in RNAcentral is "partial 16S ribosomal RNA". It matches the Rfam family "Bacterial small subunit ribosomal RNA", at positions 524 to 776 of the family's 1533-position model. The record is from RNAcentral.
UACGUAGGGGGCAAGCGUUGUCCGGAAUUACUGGGCGUAAAGAGUUCGUAGGCGGUUUGUCGCGUCGUUUGUGAAAACCCGGGGCUCAACUUCGGGCUUGCAGGCGAUACGGGCAGACUUGAGUGUUUCAGGGGAGACUGGAAUUCCUGGUGUAGCGGUGAAAUGCGCAGAUAUCAGGAGGAACACCGGUGGCGAAGGCGGGUCUCUGGGAAACAACUGACGCUGAGGAACGAAAGCGUGGGUAGCAAACAGG